Piliocolobus tephrosceles (Ugandan red Colobus) is the source of this 257-nucleotide long non-coding RNA. RefSeq lists it as uncharacterized. NCBI's taxonomy places the organism in Eukaryota, Metazoa, Chordata, Mammalia, Primates, Cercopithecidae. The transcript has 3 exons. The record is from RefSeq and is a predicted model, not a curated record.
UUUUUUUAGAAAAUAUGAAACUGAGAGAGAAAGACUUUCUACAAGCUUAGAGUCAAUGGAUGAAAAAAAAGAAGAUAUAAUUACUGAUGAUGAACAAGAAUUCUUUAAAAGCGUACAAAACGGAAAGGAAGAACAGAUGUAUUUACUUGAAAAUUUUUUUAAAAGAAAAAACAAAGCGAUUUUGGAUAUCAUUAUUUUAAAGAAAGAGCUGCAUAUGCUUAAAAAGAAAAAUAAAGAAUAUAAAAAAACUAUUAAUG